CAACGUAGGUAACCUGCCCAUGUGUCCGGGAUAACUGCUGGAAACGGUAGCUAAAACCGGAUAGGUGUACAGAGCGCAUGCUCAGUAUAUUAAAGCGCCCAUCAAGGCGUGAACAUGGAUGGACCUGCGGCGCAUUAGCUAGUUGGUGAGGUAACGGCCCACCAAGGCGAUGAUGCGUAGCCGGCCUGAGAGGGUAAACGGCCACAUUGGGACUGAGACACGGCCCAA
This 228-nucleotide ribosomal RNA is filed under the name uncultured bacterium. Its description in RNAcentral is "partial 16S ribosomal RNA". It matches the Rfam family "Bacterial small subunit ribosomal RNA", at positions 113 to 334 of the family's 1533-position model. The record is from RNAcentral.